AUUGAACGCUGGCGGCAGGCCUAACACAUGCAAGUCGAACGGUAACAGGAAACAGCUUGCUGUUUCGCUGACGAGUGGCGGACGGGUGAGUAAUGUCUGGGAAACUGCCUGAUGGAGGGGGAUAACUACUGGAAACGGUAGCUAAUACCGCAUAACGUCGCAGGACCAAAGAGGGGGACCCUCGAGCCUCUUGCCAUCGGAUGUGCCCAGAUGGGAUUAGCUUGUUGGUGGGGUAACGGCUCACCAAGGCGACGAUCCCUAGCUGGUCUGAGAGGAUGACCAGCCACACUGGAACUGAGACACGGUCCAGACUCCUACGGGAGGCAGCAGUGGGGAAUAUUGCACAAUGGGCGCAAGCCUGAUGCAGCCAUGCCGCGUGUAUGAAGAAGGCCUUCGGGUUGUAAAGUACUUUCAGCGGGGAGGAAGGGAGUAAAGUUAAUACCUUUGCUCAUUGACGUUACCCGCAGAAGAAGCACCGGCUAACUCCGUG
RNAcentral lists this ribosomal RNA (490 nucleotides) under uncultured bacterium. Its description in RNAcentral is "partial 16S ribosomal RNA". It matches the Rfam family "Bacterial small subunit ribosomal RNA", at positions 30 to 507 of the family's 1533-position model. The record is from RNAcentral.